This is a small nucleolar RNA of Lineus longissimus, 217 nucleotides long. RefSeq annotates it as small nucleolar RNA SNORA53. The record is from RefSeq and is a predicted model, not a curated record. Lineage: Eukaryota; Metazoa; Nemertea; Pilidiophora; Heteronemertea; Lineidae. The transcript has a single exon.
CACACAUUCCUUAGAUCCACUCCUGGGACAGCCACCAUCUCGUCCUCUAUGGAUGGUUCAUGUCCAGCAACUUUAUCGGUUGUACCGUCGGGGGUGCUUGAGUCAUUAGUGUGUCAGAGUAAUAUACCUCCACUGUUGGUCCAUGGCCUGAGCUCGUCGAUCAGAGGCUUUCUGAUUGGUGCCUUGUGUUCAGGACUAAACCAAUGAUGGGGACAUU